ACAAACUUUCCUACUGUUUCACAAUUAUGCACUAACCAUGUUGCUUUAGGGUUAAUAAUGUGGCAAGCGGCUGUAAAUUUCAAACCCAAACUGUAUAUUUACCCCCGAAACCGAGCAACUCUCUAACAUACCACUUUAUUCGUAGAACUAAACAAAGCAAAAACAUGACACGUUAAUUGUAAACAUCAACAUGUUUUAUGUGUCUGUAGUUAGAAAAAGCCUUAAAAAAGAAAAGUAUAGUAACUGCUCAGCGUUUUGUCUCCAUUUUGUAACUCCAAUAAUGUCUGCUUAGUUGCAGUGUAGCUACUAAAUGAUAAACAUGAAAGCUAAUAAAAAUGUUUCAUAUUUCAAGCUGCAUGUUUGUGUGGAUAAAAAAAAAAUAGUGACCCCUUGACCCACUGCAGGGGAAGUUUAAUACUUUACAUCCACUAAUAAAAUAAAUAUCAAGUUCACAAAACCACACAAAAUGUCAUGUUAAAGAAUAAAUCUUAUUAAGCACAUGCAGGAUUUCAAGUUUAAAUUUUAGACUUUGUAAAUUACACAAGAGCAUUUUAUAUUAGCCAACACAGAUUUCACAUCCAACCUAAAUUGUGCACAAUAUAUGGGGAUUCUGGCAACAAAAUAUCAUUACAAUAAUUGUUGGCAAUAACAUCCCAAAGUAAAUUCACAUUUGGCAAGUUAAUACAUUUAGGCUGUGAGAUGGAGUAGAUGUGGACAUCUGACACUAAAUGACAAAGCUUUAUAGUAUUACAGGAAUUUAUUACACAUAAUAUUGUCAUAGCAACAUUUAAUGAUAAUAUGGUUAUGGUAUAGUUUCCUAAUAUUACACCUAGUAAAUACCUGACAACAUAAAUUAAUCAAAUCCUUUUUCAUCUAUGCACAGAGAGCUGCAGAUUUGAAAGCUCAUUCAGUUUCUUUGCUAAUCAGUAUUCUUUAAGGAUGACACAAUGCACCAAAAACGAUAACUUCUUCCGUCUUAUGAGAGCAAAAACCUCUUCAAAGGGAGGUUGAAAAUAGCGCCUGAGCUCAAACUGAUCCAUCCUUGAACCACAGCCCAUCUGAACUAAUGAAAGAAUGAGGACAAAACAUCAAACAGCGUCUGCGUUCAAAUGCUGCUGAAGUUUCAUUAGACACCAAGAGCUGCUUGAGACGAGAUUAAAAAAAAAUACAGGUGAUAUAGCACUGCAUGCUGUAGAAGAGGCUGCAGGGUGGAGGGAUGAGGGGUUUGCUGGUGAAGGUUACUGUGAUCGCAGGCCAUCUAUACUUCAUUAGUCUCUAUGCACAUACCAGUAAAGGUAUGGAGAAACUUUGACUAUGACGAUGCAAAAGUCUGGCACUCAGCAGAUGAAGACCUCAGCUGACCUCACUUGCAGCGUUGUGCGGCAUGUGAAGCCUUGACUGGUGCUCUGCUAAUUCUAUUCUCCAAGCAGCCGCAUUAAAAACACUCUGAAUGUAAUCUUUCACCUGAGUACAUUCGUAUCGUUGUUAAUGAAGAAGCCAUCGUGCUGCAUUGAAGUAUAAGUAUCUAUUUAGGUCUGAAUGAGUUUCUCUUUUCAAUGUCUGACAUUCGCAUGCAUUAACAAAGCCGGCCUCAUUGGUUGGAUACGGAAAAAGAUGAUAUUCAUGAGGUCAAACACAAGUGUACUGAGCUUUCAGUGUCACGCUCUCACCAGUACUUUGUGCUGCUCUCAAGAUAAGACAUUUUGAUUUCGAGUCUGUGGACAGCUGGGAACAGGAGGUGCUUUUCCUUUAUAAGGGUUUUACACAGUAGUUGUUGCAGCAUAUCAAAAGUCCGGUGUCUUCUGCAACCGAAGUGAGGUUCUGCUGUAUUCUGUCUGCAGAGAUGUCUGUGCAAAAUUGCACACUGUGGGUGUAGCCCAAGUCUCAGAUUCCUCAUUCAUUCACUGUACCUCCCCCAUAAAACAAUGCUGCUGAAAAUCUGACAGUGCAUCGCCAUGUCACCCCACCUUGUCUGGUCAUCCCUCCUCCUCCGGUCACAUGUCUCUCAUAGCCACAUUCCUCUAGCCAUCUUUCCUCUCAUCCCCACCCCUACGGUCCACAAGCUGUGCCUGCCUCUGGGUCUAAACUCUUCCAUUUCCUGAAAGAAACCCAAUGUUCCUCUUUUUCGUUAUCUCUAUUUGCAUUCAUUCUGGAUUGAAUGUGCCGCUGGAUAAAAUAAUAAAAUAAUAAUAAUAAUAAUAAUAAUAAUAAAAAUAUGCAGCCGUUUGGUCUUUGCUGUGGUUUCUGUCCUUCCGCCAUGUUAAGCGUGGUUUUGGCGUUUUGUCUUACAGAGAUGUGUGAGUGCCCCUCGCAGCUCCCAAGAACCCAACCCGUGCACAUCACAGCAAAACGUCACAAGUUAGGGUCUCAGGGAAUGAGAAAGCUGAAAUCACUUAGAUUGCAAAAGGCCUGGUGUACAAAGAGAAGCCGAAAAACAGAGGAGCAGAGGAAGAAUGGAGAAAGUGUUGAACAUGAGCACAUAAGAGAAGGAGCGAAGGCAGAGAAAAAAAAGAAAAGAAAAAGGAGGCAUGUUUUCAUCUUACAGUGUCCGUUCCCAAGCUGGCUUUCAUUUCAGACAAAAAAAUUUCCCCUCCAGUCGGCAAGUCCACUAUUCUGUUCCUGUCUCCCUCGCCCUCUGUGUCUGUGAAAGUGAGUCGGUAUUACAGCGUGCAUUUCAUGGAGAAAAGGAGGGUGGGAACAAGGAGAAAGGAGGGAGCAAGGGAGUAAAUGCACUGGUUCAGGAAGAGGUAAAGGAAAUGUAACUGUACGCCUCCUGGUUGGUACUCCUAUGUUUGAUCAAUGUUACUCCUUUAAAGUAGCAGAAAAGGAUUGUGGAAAAAAAAAAAAGAAGAGAUGAAAGACGAAAGCGAGAGGACUGGGGAGAUGAGGGCAUUACCGGAACAGGGUUCUUUAGAGGGACAGCACACAAUGGACAGUGAUCAGUAAAGGCAGAAAGAAGCCUGUGUGGUCCCAUUCUGUCCCUCUGCUGGUUUUUAUCUUCGUCUCGUAAAGCUCAGUCCGAUAAAAAUCGAUUGUUCCGUUCCGUGUUUUUAUUUUCUACAUUUUUCCGA
Molecule: long non-coding RNA, 3071 nt
Organism: Poecilia latipinna (sailfin molly)
Lineage: Eukaryota; Metazoa; Chordata; Actinopteri; Cyprinodontiformes; Poeciliidae
Exons: 2
Source: RefSeq, a predicted model, not a curated record